ACCUACGGGGCGCAGCAGUUGGGAAUAUUGGACAAUGGAGGAAACUCUGAUCCAGUGACGCCGCGUGAAGGAAGAAGGUCUUCGGAUUGUAAACUUAUUUUGUCAGGGAAGAAAAAAAUGACUGUACCUGAAGAAAAAGCACCGGCUAACUACGUGCCAGCAGCCGCGGUAAUACGUAGGGUGCAAGCGUUAUCCGGAUUUAUUGGGUUUAAAGGGUGCGCAGGCGGAAGAUCAAGUCAGCGGUAAAAUUGAGAGGCUCAACCUCUUCGAGCCGUUGAAACUGGUUUUCUUGAGUGAGCGAGAAG
Molecule: ribosomal RNA, 305 nt
Filed under: uncultured bacterium
Lineage: Bacteria
Description: bacterial SSU rRNA
Rfam family: Bacterial small subunit ribosomal RNA
Source: RNAcentral